GCUGUUGGAGGGGGUGACUUAGAGUGCAUACUGGGAAGCAAGUUAUUUCUGGAAAGCCGUGAGGAAAAACAAGGCAGAGAUUAAAAGAUGGCCCUGAUUGCUUUUUCACUGAGAAGAUUUAAAAAAUCCAGUUCCAGCGUCCUCCACCACUUUUAAAGUAUUUCUGUCCCUACCAUCCAUUUCCCUGAACUGUUGUCAAGUACCUAAAGGACCAAGAGUCUCUUCCCCCUUCUAAGUUGCCAACCCUUGGCUUGCUGGCUUCAUGUUACCUCCCUCCAGACCACCUGGGCGGGAGAUGAUCUUUCUUUAUCCCUCCUCAAGCUGUUUCCCUUUUUCUCUCAGUCUCUUCACUGCCAGACUGCCCAAAUAUUUUAUACUUUAUCCUCCCUGAUCUCCUUGAUAAACUCAUUCUUUUCUCAGUCUUGUUUUUUUUUUCCUUGACCUCGCUGCCACAGGAGAAAAUUCUGACUCAAUUUCAUCUGUACAAUUCUUCCUUGACAUUGCCCUAGUAUAGUUCAGCCACCCCUUCUCCCUUGCUGGCUCUCCUUAUUAAGCCCUCUAUGUGAGUGGGUGUUUGCUCCAGAUUUUAUCCUCAACCUCUCUUUUCCCUUUACCUGCUGUCCUGGGACAGCACUUUACAAUCACCCAUCUCCAGCCUUGAUCUGCCUCAUAAGCUCUAGCUUUCCAUUCUGUCUUACUAGUAAGACAUUAUCAUACAGAGACUCAUUACCUCUAGUCACCAUGUCAAAAAAAAAAGUUCACAUUUCCUUUCAAAAUUGACUUUCCUCCCUUUCACUCCCUUAUUUUUAUCAGCACUACUUUAACUCCCAGCUACAGCUGCUACUUCUCCAUCCUUAUCUUUUUUAAGAUUUUAUUUUUGAGUAAUCUCUACACCCAACAUGGGGCUCAAACUCACAACCCUAAGAUCAAAAAUCACAUGCUCCAUCAACUAAAGCUGUAUGCUCCUCCAUACUCAUCUUUAACUUACCUAAAGGACUCUCAAGAAGCCUUUAUCAAAUUCCUCAAUUCUACUAACUUGUUUCCAUUGCCACCCAUCUACAUCCUUCCUAAGAUCGUUUUGCUAAUUCAACUGCCUUCAUUCACCGCAGAAUCAUUGGUAUUCCCCAGGAUUUUGUCCUCAGCAGUAUCCCUAAGGAUGCAGAUUGUCUUGUCCCUUUUUCAUUCAUCCUCCACAUGAAGUCAGAUAUCAAGUUCUAUUGAGUCUGACUUCCUCAUGUCCUAAUGAGGCUUUUUAACUUCUACAUCCUCAUCAUCAGUACCUUGAGAUAUUUCCAAGAUUAUAAUUGCUUCUCUUACCCCUACCAUGGCACCAAAUAAAUCUUCAUUCCCUUCAAAAGAUUGUUAUAAUUAAAUGAGAUAAUCCAUCUAAAGCACUCAACAUAAUGCCUGACCCAUGGUAAGAGCUAUUAUUAUCCACUGAUCAGAAAUAAUCAUGCAAAUAUCAAAUCAUGUUGUACACCUGACACUAACAUAAUGUUAUAUACCAAUUAUACCUCAGUUAAGAAAAAACUAAUUACUCCCCAUUACAAACAGCUUCAAAUCAUAACUCUCAGCUACAUGGUCUCCCCAGUGUAGCAACCCAUCAUAAUCCCCCAUCCAAACUCCAGACACUUUCACAUUUUCAGGGUGAAGUGAGCACAGUUCAUAUGUGCUUUUUCCUCUUCUGGAAUGCCUUUCUUUGUCCAAAGCCAUUCAAAUCCUCCCCUUUCUUCAAGUAACAAGAGAAGUCCUACUUUUUUGAUACCUUCUAGAUCUUGGCCUGCAUUCUUCAAUAUGUUGGAUUCAUGAUAGCAAGGAAUAUAGAUAUUUUAAGCUUCUUUUUUCAAAUCAGCACCUAAUCGUGGAUGUCCAAUAAGAUGCUGUAUUGUGCUACCAAAUGGUGGUAAACAGUGCUGCAUAUUCUUGACAUUGAAAGGUCCAGGAGCUGAAGAAUACGUUUUUCCUGAAUUAAAUAGUGGGUUUCUACAUGAUCUCAUAUCAAAUCAGACUAACUAAAUAAACUAAAACAACUUGCAAUUUCA
This is a long non-coding RNA of Mustela lutreola (European mink), 2042 nucleotides long. RefSeq lists it as uncharacterized. NCBI's taxonomy places the organism in Eukaryota, Metazoa, Chordata, Mammalia, Carnivora, Mustelidae. The record is from RefSeq and is a predicted model, not a curated record. The transcript has 4 exons.